Molecule: long non-coding RNA, 1204 nt
Filed under: Homo sapiens (human)
Lineage: Eukaryota; Metazoa; Chordata; Mammalia; Primates; Hominidae
Description: MIR663A host gene
Source: RNAcentral
GGUGCGCACGGGCCCUGUGAGCGAUCGCGGUGGGCUUGGGCUGGUGACGCGUGCGCCGGCCGGCCGCCGAGGGGCUACCGUUCUGCCUCCGACCGGUCGUGUAAAUACUAGGCUUUAGAAUUUCACCAUAUGAAUUUUGGGAGAGAGGAGCACAGUUCAGCCCAUAACUAACACACGACGGAAUGAAGUUGAUAAUAGUGAGACCUUGUUGGUACAAGACUAUGUAACAUAACCUGCGCUUCUCAACAAAGAAUUGCUUUUCUGACUUCUGCACUCAAUAGCAAGACAAAUCUCUCCUCUGCCUUCUCCUUAUCAGACUACUCAACAUGAAGGCAAUAAGAAUGAAGACCUCUAUGUAUAAUAAUUGACUUCCACUUAAUAAAUAAGGUUACUUGGUACACUGGUCGACAAAACCUUGAAAUGUUGAUGUUUAAGGGCUGUUGAUUGCUGGCAGCAAAGAAGUCCAACUGUGCUGGUACCCGAGAUAGCGUCUCCACAUUUUCUUCCAGGAUCAUCACCUUUGUUCUAAAUAGCUCCCACAUAGUGUGAACAGAAGUCAUAUGUUUUAGAUUUUCUGCCUUGGCACCCAGGAAACCAGUAUGAUUGAGUAAACAUAUUAAACUUCCUCUGCAUUUCCAGCCUGAACAGAUGUUGAGUACAAGCUGAUCCACCUACGUUCAACCUGAGAGAGUCCACAUCCACAGACUGUUUCAUUUCCCUUUUUCAAUUUACAUAGAAGCAUAGAUUCUUGCUGGCAUAUACAAAUGCGCCAUUUAAGGCAAUCAAAAAUGGUUCCACAUCUCAUCUGAUUUCCACAAUUGUUGCUGUAACGAUGGACUACUGAGGAGAGAGACAAUUUCUCUGGCACAUCUUCCCACAUUUUAGCAACAUGUUCAUGGAGAGCCAAUAUUCAGUAAUUACAGCCCAAUUCCUCACAAUUUCACAAUUCGCUAACAAUAUGCAUUUUCACAAUGUAAAGCUGAUUUUCCUUUAACCAAAUCAAACAUGAAAAGAUAGCUGCAUGCAAUGGGCAAUCUAGAUCAUUAGAAGAUUGAUGUAAAAUUAGAGGACACUGAGACUGGAAUAGAUUGCAAACUUCAGGGAGCUCAGAAAACUUGUAAACUCUACAUUUUGAGGAAAUAUGUUGUCGAUGCUUUUGCAACUCUAUGCAGUAACUUAACAAAUAAAGCCUUAAAGUAACUUA